GAUGAACGCUGGCGGCGUGCCUAAUACAUGCAAGUCGAGCGAACGGACGAGAGGCUUGCUUCUCUGAUGUUAGCGGCGGACGGGUGAGUAACACGUGGAUAACCUACCUAUAAGACUGGGAUAACUUCGGGAAACCGGAGCUAAUACCGGAUAAUAUUUUGAACCGCAUGGUUCAAAAGUGAAAGACGGUCUUGCUGUCACUUAUAGAUGGAUCCGCGCUGCAUUAGCUAGUUGGUAAGGUAACGGCUUACCAAGGCAACGAUGCAUAGCCGACCUGAGAGGGUGAUCGGCCACACUGGAACUGAGACACGGUCCAGACUCCUACGGGAGGCAGCAGUAGGGAAUCUUCCGCAAUGGGCGAAAGCCUGACGGAGCAACGCCGCGUGAGUGAUGAAGGUCUUCGGAUCGUAAAACUCUGUUAUUAGGGAAGAACAUAUGUGUAAGUAACUGUGCACAUCUUGACGGUACCUAAUCAGAAAGCCACGGCUAACUACGUGCCAGCAGCCGCGGUAAUACGUAGGUGGCAAGCGUUAUCCGGAAUUAUUGGGCGUAAAGCGCGCGUAGGCGGUUUUUUAAGUCUGAUGUGAAAGCCCACGGCUCAACCGUGGAGGGUCAUUGGAAACUGGAAAACUUGAGUGCAGAAGAGGAAAGUGGAAUUCCAUGUGUAGCGGUGAAAUGCGCAGAGAUAUGGAGGAACACCAGUGGCGAAGGCGACUUUCUGGUCUGUAACUGACGCUGAUGUGCGAAAGCGUGGGGAUCAAACAGGAUUAGAUACCCUGGUAGUCCACGCCGUAAACGAUGAGUGCUAAGUGUUAGGGGGUUUCCGCCCCUUAGUGCUGCAGCUAACGCAUUAAGCACUCCGCCUGGGGAGUACGACCGCAAGGUUGAAACUCAAAGGAAUUGACGGGGACCCGCACAAGCGGUGGAGCAUGUGGUUUAAUUCGAAGCAACGCGAAGAACCUUACCAAAUCUUGACAUCCUUUGACAACUCUAGAGAUAGAGCCUUCCCCUUCGGGGGACAAAGUGACAGGUGGUGCAUGGUUGUCGUCAGCUCGUGUCGUGAGAUGUUGGGUUAAGUCCCGCAACGAGCGCAACCCUUAAGCUUAGUUGCCAUCAUUAAGUUGGGCACUCUAAGUUGACUGCCGGUGACAAACCGGAGGAAGGUGGGGAUGACGUCAAAUCAUCAUGCCCCUUAUGAUUUGGGCUACACACGUGCUACAAUGGACAAUACAAAGGGCAGCGAAACCGCGAGGUCAAGCAAAUCCCAUAAAGUUGUUCUCAGUUCGGAUUGUAGUCUGCAACUCGACUACAUGAAGCUGGAAUCGCUAGUAAUCGUAGAUCAGCAUGCUACGGUGAAUACGUUCCCGGGUCU
This 1372-nucleotide ribosomal RNA is filed under the name uncultured bacterium. RNAcentral's name for it is "bacterial SSU rRNA". It matches the Rfam family "Bacterial small subunit ribosomal RNA", at positions 28 to 1381 of the family's 1533-position model. The record is from RNAcentral.